GACGAACGCUGGCGGCGGGCUUAACACAUGCAAGUCGAACGGAAAGGCCCUGCUUUUGUGGGGUUCUCGAGUGGCGAACGGGUGAGUAACACGUGAGUAACCUGCCCUUGACUUUGGGAUAACUUCAGGAAACUGGGGCUAAUACCGGAUAGGAGCUCCUGUUGCAUGGUAGGGGUUGGAACGUUUCGGCGGUCGGGGAUGGACUCGCGGCUUAUCAGCUUGUUGGUGGGGUAGUGGCUUACCAAGGCUUUGACGGGUAGCCGGCCUGAGAGGGUGACCGGCCACAUUGGGACUGAGAUACGGCCCAGACUCCUACGGGAGGCAGCAGUGGGGAAUAUUGCACAAUGGGCGGAAGCCUGAUGAAGAAACGCCGCGUGCGGGAUGACGGCCUUCGGGUUGUAAACAGCUUUAGCCUGUGACGAAGCGUGAGUGACGGUAAUGGGUAAAGAAGCACCGGCUAACUACGUG
Molecule: ribosomal RNA, 468 nt
Filed under: uncultured bacterium
Lineage: Bacteria
Description: partial 16S ribosomal RNA
Rfam family: Bacterial small subunit ribosomal RNA
Source: RNAcentral